UAACACGUGGGUAAUCUGCCCUGGAGUGGGGAAUAACACCGGGAAACCGGUGCUAAUACCGCAUACGAUAAUGAGGUCUGCGGACUUUGUUAUGAAAGGAGCAAUUCGCUCUAGGAGGAGCCCGCGGCUGAUUAGCUAGUUGGUGAGGUAAUGGCUCACCAAGGCUUCGAUCAGUAUCCGGUCUGAGAGGACGGUCGGACACACUGGAACUGAGACACGGUCCAG
Molecule: ribosomal RNA, 225 nt
Filed under: uncultured bacterium
Lineage: Bacteria
Description: partial 16S ribosomal RNA
Rfam family: Bacterial small subunit ribosomal RNA
Source: RNAcentral